AACUGGGUGACGUAAGCUAACGCGUUAAGCGAGGCGCCUGGGGAGUACGACCGCAAGGUUAAAACUCAAAGGAAUUGACGGGGGAGCGCACAACCGGUGGAGCAUGUGGUUUAAUUCGAUACAAAGCGAAGAACCUUACCUGGGUUUGACAUCUAGCUGCAAGUUCUAAGAAAUUAGGACCUCUUUUGAAGGUGCUAGACAGGUGAUGCAUGGCUGUCGUCAGCUCGUGUCGUGAGACGUCCGCUUAAGUGCGGUAACGAGCGCAACCCUUGUCGUCAGUUAUACGUGUCUGACGAGACUGCCCCUGCAGUGCAGGGGAGGAAGGAGAGGAUGACGUCAAGUCAGCAUGUCCCUUAUAUCCAGGGCGACACACAUCCUACAAUGGAGCCGACAACGGGUAGCGACGGGGUAACCCUGAGCCAAUCCUAAUAAACGGCCCCUCAGUUCAGAUUGAAGGCUGCAACCCGCCUUCAUGAAGUCGGAAUCGGUAGUAAUCGCAAAUCAGCAGGUUGCGGUGAAUACGUUCUCGCUCCUUGUACACACUGCCCGUCAAGCCAGCAAAGUCAGCAGCGCCCGAAGCGGGAGACUGUAACUCUUUUAGAGAGCAGCCCUUCUACG
RNAcentral lists this ribosomal RNA (618 nucleotides) under uncultured organism. RNAcentral's name for it is "bacterial SSU rRNA". It matches the Rfam family "Bacterial small subunit ribosomal RNA", at positions 837 to 1461 of the family's 1533-position model. The record is from RNAcentral.